GUAGAUAGGGCAGAGGUGGAAGUGUGGCAACACAUGGAGCUGACUGUUACUAAUAGGUCGAGGGCUUGAUUAA
This 73-nucleotide ribosomal RNA is filed under the name Roseburia faecis. RNAcentral's name for it is "partial 23S ribosomal RNA". Lineage: Bacteria; Bacillati; Bacillota; Clostridia; Lachnospirales; Lachnospiraceae. The record is from RNAcentral.